Molecule: ribosomal RNA, 292 nt
Filed under: uncultured bacterium
Lineage: Bacteria
Description: partial 16S ribosomal RNA
Rfam family: Bacterial small subunit ribosomal RNA
Source: RNAcentral
GUGUCAGCAGCCGCGGUAAUACGUAGGUGGCAAGCGUUGUCCGGAUUUAUUGGGUUUAAAGGGUGCGUAGGCGGUGAUUUAAGUCAGUGGUGAAAUACGGCAGCUUAACUGUCGAGGUGCCAUUGAUACUGGGUCACUUGAGUACUGAUGAGGUAGGCGGAAUGGACGGUGUAGCGGUGAAAUGCUUAGAGAUCGUCCAGAACACCGAUAGCGAAGGCAGCUUACUAAGGAGUAACUGACGCUGAGGCACGAAAGUGUGGGGAUCAAACAGGAUUAGAUACCCGUGUAGUCC